This 445-nucleotide ribosomal RNA is filed under the name uncultured bacterium. RNAcentral describes it as "partial 16S ribosomal RNA". It matches the Rfam family "Bacterial small subunit ribosomal RNA", at positions 354 to 796 of the family's 1533-position model. The record is from RNAcentral.
GUGAGGAAUAUUGCGCAAUGGAGGCAACUCUGACGCAGCCAUGCCGCGUGCAGGAAGAAGGCGCUACGCGUUGUAAACUGCUUUUAACCGGGAAGAAACCCCAGGACGUGUCCUGGGUUGACGGUACCGGAGGAAUAAGCACCGGCUAACUUCGUGCCAGCAGCCGCGGUAAUCCGAAGGGUGCAAGCGUUAUCCGGAUUCAUUGGGUUUAAAGGGUGCGUAGGCGGAGCGUUAAGUCAGUGGUGAAAUCCUGCAGCUUAACUGUAGACUUGCCAUUGAUACUGGCGCUCUUGAGUGCGCUUGAAGUGGGCGGAAUGUGCCGUGUAGCGGUGAAAUGCUUAGAUAUGGCACAGAACACCAAUUGCGAAGGCAGCUCACUAAGGCGAUACUGACGCUGAGGCACGAAAGCGUGGGGAUCGAACAGGAUUAGAAACCCGGGUAGUCC